RNAcentral lists this ribosomal RNA (253 nucleotides) under uncultured bacterium. Its description in RNAcentral is "partial 16S ribosomal RNA". It matches the Rfam family "Bacterial small subunit ribosomal RNA", at positions 524 to 776 of the family's 1533-position model. The record is from RNAcentral.
UACAGAGGUCCCAAGCGUUGUUCGGAUUCACUGGGCGUAAAGGGUGCGUAGGUGGUUCUGCAAGUCUGAUGUGAAAUCUCCGGGCUUAACCCGGAAAUGGCAUUGGAAACUACCUUGCUCGAGGGUUGGAGGGGGGACUGGAAUACUUGGUGUAGCAGUGAAAUGCGUAGAUAUUGUGAGGAACACUAGUGGCGAAGGCGAGACUCUGGACAGUUCCUGACGCUGAGGCACGAAGGCCAGGGGAGCAAACGGG